RNAcentral lists this ribosomal RNA (445 nucleotides) under uncultured bacterium. RNAcentral's name for it is "bacterial SSU rRNA". It matches the Rfam family "Bacterial small subunit ribosomal RNA", at positions 354 to 796 of the family's 1533-position model. The record is from RNAcentral.
GUAAGGAAUAUUGGUCAAUGGAGGCAACUCUGAACCAGCCAUGCCGCGUGCAGGAUGACGGCCCUAUGGGUUGUAAACUGCUUUUGUACCAGAGAAAACCCCAGUACGUGUACUGGGUUGAUAGUAUGGUAAGAAUAAGCAUCGGCUAACUUCGUGCCAGCAGCCGCGGUAAGACGAAGGAUGCAAGCGUUAUCCGGAUUCAUUGGGUUUAAAGGGUGCGUAGGCGGACUGAUAAGUCAGUGGUGAAAUCUCUCAGCUUAACUGAGAAACUGCCAUUGAUACUGUCGGUCUAGAGUAUAGAUGACGUUGGCGGAAUAUGACAUGUAGUGGUGAAAUACUUAGAUAUGUCAUAGAACACCGAUUGCGAAGGCAGCUAACGAAACUAUAACUGACGCUGAGGCACGAAAGUGCGGGGAUCAAACAGGAUUAGAAACCCGGGUAGUCC